AGUGAGGAAUUUUGCGCAAUGGGGGCAACCCUGACGCAGCAACGCCGCGUGAGUGAAGAAGGCUUUUGGGUCGUAAAGCUCUGUCAACMGGGAAGAAAUUAGUUUUAUUUAAUAGAUAANNCUAUUGACGGUACCUGUGGAGGAAGCGCCGGCUAACUCCGUGCCAGCAGCCGCGGUAACACGGGGGGCGCAAGCGUUAUUCGGAAUUAUUGGGCGUAAAGGGCGCGCAGGCGGUCUUGUCMGUCAGGUGUGAAAGCUCGGGGCUCAACCCCGGAAGUGCANUUGAAACAGCAAGACUUGAAUACGGGAGAGGAGAGAGGAAUUCCUGGUGUAGAGGUGAAAUUCGUAGAUAUCAGGAGGAACACCGAUGGCGAAGGCAUCUCUCUGGACCGAUAUUGACGCUGAGGCGCGAAGGCGUGGGUAGCGAACGGGAUUAGAUACCCCGGUAGUCCACGCAGUAAACGUUGUACACUCGGUGUAGCG
Molecule: ribosomal RNA, 483 nt
Filed under: uncultured bacterium
Lineage: Bacteria
Description: bacterial SSU rRNA
Rfam family: Bacterial small subunit ribosomal RNA
Source: RNAcentral